GUCCAACUGACGAGUCCCAAAUAGGACGAAACACGCGUCAAACUGGAU
RNAcentral lists this non-coding RNA (48 nucleotides) under Schistosoma mattheei. Lineage: Eukaryota; Metazoa; Platyhelminthes; Trematoda; Strigeidida; Schistosomatidae. The record is from RNAcentral.